RNAcentral lists this long non-coding RNA (339 nucleotides) under Lathyrus oleraceus (garden pea). RNAcentral describes it as "Pisum sativum (pea) long non-coding RNA (PSAT_LNC020222)". Lineage: Eukaryota; Viridiplantae; Streptophyta; Magnoliopsida; Fabales; Fabaceae. The record is from RNAcentral.
AAAAAACGAAAAAUAAAUAAAUAAAUAAAAGAAAAAAUCUUGGACUUGGACCUCUCAUUUGAGCCCACAGGUCCACAAAAAUCAGGUUAUAAAUUUAGAGUUUCAAUGAAACAAAAGGCCAUUCUAUUCCUAUUACCCUGUCUAGGAAAAAGAUAGUGAGAGAAGAACCCUGUCUGGGAAAAAGAUAGUGAUAGAAGAACCCUGUCUAUGAAAAAGAUAGUGAGAGAAGAACCCUGUCUGGGAAAAAGAUAGUGAGAGAAGAACCCUGUCUGGGAAAACCUGUCUGGGAAAAAGAUAGUGAUAGAAGAACCCUGUCUAUGAAAAAGAUAGUGAGAGAAG